Molecule: ribosomal RNA, 440 nt
Filed under: uncultured bacterium
Lineage: Bacteria
Description: partial 16S ribosomal RNA
Rfam family: Bacterial small subunit ribosomal RNA
Source: RNAcentral
CCUACGGGUGGCAGCAGUGGGGAAUAUUGCACAAUGGGGGCAACCCUGAUGCAGCGACGCCGCGUGAGCGAUGAAGUAUUUCGGUAUGUAAAGCUCUAUCAGCAUGGAAGAAAAUGACGGUACCUGACUAAUAAGCCCCUGCUAACUACGUGCCAGCAGCCGCGGUAAUACGUAGGCGGCAAGCGUUAUCCGGAUUUACUGGGUGUAAAGGGAGCGUAGACGGCGGUGCAAGCCAGAUGUGAAAGCCCGGGGCUCAACCCCGGGACUGCAUUUGGAACUGUGCUGCUAGAGUGUCGGAGAGGCAGGCGGAAGUCCUAGUGUAGCGGUGGAAUGCGUAGAUAUUAGGAGGAACACCAGUGGCGAAGGCGAUUUGCUGGAAUGUAACUGACACUGAGGCACGAAAGCGUGGGGAGCAAACAGGAUUAGAUACCCCAGUAGUC